Tupaia belangeri chinensis (Chinese tree shrew) is the source of this 652-nucleotide long non-coding RNA. RefSeq lists it as uncharacterized. The transcript has 3 exons. Lineage: Eukaryota; Metazoa; Chordata; Mammalia; Scandentia; Tupaiidae. The record is from RefSeq and is a predicted model, not a curated record.
GUCGCGGACGCCGCUGCUCGAGCCCCCCUGGGACCCCCCCGAACCCCACUGGACAGAGCCCAAAGCCCCCGAGUGCCGAGGCUGAAUUCCCCCGAGGGCCUCUGCGCCGUGGCGCGCGCGGGACUUUGAACCGUUUGGGAUUGCGGGAGGCGCAGCGAUUGGAGGCCGUCAGAACGCGAGAGCAAGCUCCACCUCCCAGAAAACGUCUCUGACCCCUUCCUGGGCCGGUCAGCUGCGUGGCAAAUGAGACUAAGCAAAAAUUUGUGAAAGAAAGCCCAGAGAAUGUGGGGGGACCAGGACUUCAUUAACGAGGCACUGCACAUCAAAUAGCUUGAGGAGGAAUUUGAAAACUCCAGUGGGAAAUCUUGGGAAAACGAGCACUUACAGAGGCAGAGGUGAGCCGCCACCCUCCUUCUCCACACCCAACCUGAGUCACUUCUGAUUCAGAACUCGCGUCUCGCACUAGGAAGGAGCCCUGCGCGCCCGGGCCAUUCAGAGCGCAGAGAUCGGGGAAGUCGCCUUUCCCUUUGGCGCCAGAUUUGACGUCUACUCCACCAUUGGUCCGCUGAGAGCAGGCCCCGCCCCCGCUCCCAGAGACACCAUUCACAACAUUGGGCGUCCAGCUCCCUCGCCGCUUCCGGCGCUCCCGCGG